AUUGAACGCUGGCGGCAUGCCUUACACAUGCAAGUCGAACGGCAGCACGGGAGCAAUCCUGGUGGCGAGUGGCGAACGGGUGAGUAAUGUAUCGGAACGUGCCCAGUCGUGGGGGAUAACGUAGCGAAAGCUACGCUAAUACCGCAUACGAUCUGUGGAUGAAAGCGGGGGACCGUAAGGCCUCGCGCGGUUGGAGCGGCCGAUAUCAGAUUAGGGAGUUGGUAGGGUAAAGGCCUACCAAGCCGACGAUCUGUAGCUGGUCUGAGAGGACGACCAGCCACACUGGGACUGAGACACGGCCCAGACUCCUACGGGAGGCAGCAGUGGGGAAUUUUGGACAAUGGGCGCAAGCCUGAUCCAGCAAUGCCGCGUGCAGGAUGAAGGCCUUCGGGUUGUAAACUGCUUUUGUACGGAGCGAAAAGGCUCUCUCUAAUACAGGGGGCUCAUGACGGUACCGUAAGAAUAAGCACCGGCUAACUACGUGCCAGCCGCCGCGGUAA
This 500-nucleotide ribosomal RNA is filed under the name uncultured bacterium. RNAcentral's name for it is "partial 16S ribosomal RNA". It matches the Rfam family "Bacterial small subunit ribosomal RNA", at positions 29 to 523 of the family's 1533-position model. The record is from RNAcentral.